RNAcentral lists this ribosomal RNA (465 nucleotides) under uncultured bacterium. RNAcentral's name for it is "partial 16S ribosomal RNA". It matches the Rfam family "Bacterial small subunit ribosomal RNA", at positions 28 to 507 of the family's 1533-position model. The record is from RNAcentral.
GACGAACGCUGGCGGCGUGCUUAACACAUGCAAGUCGAACGGAAAGGCCCUGCUUGCGGGGUACUCGAGUGGCGAACGGGGGAGUAACACGUGGGUGUUCUGCCCUGCACUUCGGGAUAAGCCUGGGAAACUGGGUGUAAUACCGGGGAGGAGCGAUUUUGAGUGUGGUGGGUGGAAAGUUUUUUCGGUGUAGGAUGGGCCUGCGGCCUAUCAGCCUGUUGGUGGGGUAAGGGCCUACCAAGGCGGGGACGGGUAGGCGGCCGGGGGGGGUGGACGGCCACAUUGGGACUGAGAUAAGGCCCAGAAUCCCACCGGAGGCAGGAGGGGGGAAUAUUGCACAAUGGGCCGAAGGCUGAUGCAGGGACGCCGGGGUGGGGAAGACGGCCUUCGGGUUGUAAACCCCUUUCGCUAGGGAAGAAGCUUUUUGUGACGGUACCUAGAUAAGAAGCACCGGCUAACUACGUG